AAAAUAAUUAGCCAAUUAGAACGAGUUCAUCUGUGUACGAUAGUUUAAAACGGUUAUUUUUGUUUCAGAUUUUUUGUUGACCUUAUCAAGUCUUAUCUGAAAUAUCAUGCUACUCUACCAGUUACCAGUAUUUUAAAUAAAAAUAUAAAUUCUAUCGAUAAUCUAAAGGUUUUUGUUACUUUUUGCCCACUUAUUGGUUGUUUUUAUAACAUGCUAUUUUUGAACACUCAUUCUCAAAGUCCAUUUAUAUGUACACUUGGUAGACUGUCUGUGAAUUGUUUUGUUAAAGGAACACUCCUGACAAAUAUAAAAUGCACUUUGAUUAAUCAUGGGAAAAGUUUUUAUUUUAUUUUUAUUUUUUGUCCGCCCCCCCACCUUUUUAUGUAGUCUCCUGUUGUGCAUGAGAUUUCAAAUUUUUCAUUUAAUGAUUCAUCCACACAGUAGAGCAAUUCUAGCAUGAGCCUAUCCGUGAAAAAAUAGUUUAAUUGCCUAAGUUAAAACUUGCUUCGUCACAACACGACGUGGUAGGAUUUCAUAAAAAUAGAAUCUUUAUGGAAAAUCUAAGUCCAAUUAGAUUUGUUUUGUCAAUAUUCGCAGUUGUCGCUAGUGACAAGUGUGGGAAUGAGGCUUAAUCUGCACUGUGUGAGUUGGUUUAUAGAGGAUCCUUCAUAGACCUCUGGGAUGGAUGAACUCUCAUGCAUACAGGGAAAGUUCUACUUUAAAGGUGGCUUCUGGCAGAAUAACUAGGAUGGUGUCACUGCAAGGGAGAGCUUCAGUUAAAUCUAUUUUUAGGUUCUCCCCUGGCCUCCGUAGGGAUGUUGGCUUCGUGCAAAGACCCUCGAAAUUGGAAGCAGCUUUGGGAACAUCUUCUCUUUGCCUUGUAACCAUUUUCAUACAUCUGACAAUAUGAGUUUAUAACUUUGCUGGGAACAUUUGUAUUUUGUUGCAAUUUCUUUUGGCCAUCAAUUGUCUUGCAUUACUGGAACCACAGGUCUGGUUAAAGGGACACAGUAGGUACACAGUGCUUAAAAUCAUUUAAGUGGUUAUAGUGUUUGGAGUCACCGGACACCAUCUUUUCAUUCAAUACUGUAAUCCAGGGGUGCCAAAAAGGUAGAUCCCAAGAUGUUGAACUACAACUCUCAUGAUGCUUUGCAUGCCUUUUUAGAAUGACAAAGCACCAUGGGAGCUGUAGUCUGAAAAAAACAUUGGGGGAUCUAACUUUUGGACACCUCUGCUCUAUUCGGUGUUAAACUAUUUUCAAGCAGUUUAACAGUGAAUGCAGGGUCAAUGCCCGGUGACUCCAGGCACUUUAACCAAUCUAAUGAAAUUAAAUUAUGGUGCAUACAGUGUCAUUUUUAAUAUCUAUUUUACAGCCUCGAAAUUGAUGAAAACCAUGCAGUGAUUAUUGGUCCUGCAUCUGUUUACCUGUUGACAUUGUUAUAGUUCGUAUUUUUUUUUUUUUUAGCCAAAAAUGGGCAGGUUCCUGUAAUUGGCAUCUAUGUCUGUUUUUUUUUAGUUUUUUUUAAUUGUUAAAUUGCUAACACGUCAGCUGACACAGACUAUAUUUUGACACAUUCUAAAAUUCAAAUAUAGAUAUAAUGUAUUGAAGCAGACGACACUGUCCUCUCUCGUGGUAUCUAGUUUAAAGUGAUUUUUGUUUUUAUUAUGUUAACACAGCUGGCAUAACUAGCAUAUAUUUUUCAUUUAUGAUUUUCUAUGAACUGUUUAAUGCGUUCACAUGGAAGCACAGAUUUAAGUGAGAAUUUGGCUGUAAAAGGGAUACAUACUUGCUUUGUAUUUUCCCGUGUUAUAUGGGCCAUCUAUUUCUGUUUAACAGUGUUAGUCUGAAAAUUGAGAAAGGAGUGUGAAUUACAUAGUUAUAGAAUUACCCAGUAUAGGAUGAUUUGUAUAGCUUUAAGAACUUUAUAUGUAAGGUACCAGUGGGUAGUUAUGUUUAGUUUAACUCACUGUGAAACUCCUUUAUGUAUUGAGUAAACUGAAUCAAAGUAACUGCCAUAUGUCUAUCAAACAUGCCAUAUUUUUCCAUUGAUUUUAAGAAUUCUGUCUCAUGUUUAUGUUCAUAAUUAUCAACUUUACGAUUCUGUAGUAAUCUGAAAGAAGAUAUAUACUCUGUAAACGUACUAUUUUGUUUUGCCAGCAAUAGUGGCAUAACCAAAAAACAAACAAAAACCAAAAGGUCUUUUAUGCAUUACUAAGCAGGCGGUUUUCAAAACAGAAUCCUACAUGUGAAUCUCCGUUUGUGAAGUGUGAAGUUUGUUUCCUUUUUAGUUUUGUAUUUAGAUAUAUUUUUUUAUUUCUGCUCCUUUUUGUAGAAUAUAUAUAUAUUUUUCCUUUGAUGGGGAGGGGCAAAAUUUAAGUCGAAAACAUAUUAUAUGUUAUUUUAAAGAGAUGAUGAGCAAUGUUUUAACCUUCAACCUGAAUUUAUUUACAUUGACAGAACCCAGCCUUGGGGUACACUG
Non-coding RNA from Pelobates cultripes (western spadefoot toad), 2480 nucleotides. Lineage: Eukaryota; Metazoa; Chordata; Amphibia; Anura; Pelobatidae. The record is from the annotation of a GenBank genome assembly.